Molecule: ribosomal RNA, 482 nt
Filed under: uncultured bacterium
Lineage: Bacteria
Description: partial 16S ribosomal RNA
Rfam family: Bacterial small subunit ribosomal RNA
Source: RNAcentral
AUUGAACGCUGGCGGCAUGCUUUACACAUGCAAGUCGAACGGUAACAGGCCGCAAGGUGCUGACGAGUGGCGAACGGGUGAGUAAUGCAUCGGAACGUGCCCAGUCGUGGGGGAUAACUACUCGAAAGAGUAGCUAAUACCGCAUACGAUCUAUGGAUGAAAGCGGGGGACCGUAAGGCCUCGCGCGAUUGGAGCGGCCGAUGUCAGAUUAGGUAGUUGGUGGGGGAAAGGCUCACCAAGCCAACGAUCUGUAGCUGGUCUGAGAGGACAAACAGCCACACUGGGACUGAGACACGGCCCAGACUCCUACGGGAGGCAGCAGUGGGGAAUUUUGGACAAUGGGCGCAAGCCUGAUCCAGCAAUGCCGCGUGCAGGAAGAAGGCCUUCGGGUUGUAAACUGCUUUUGUACGGAACGAAACGGCUCUGGUUAAUACCCGGGGCUAAUGACGGUACCGUAAGAAUAAGCACCGGCUAACUACGUG